UACGUAGGUGGCAAGCGUUGUCCGGAUUUAUUGGGUUUAAAGGGUGCGUAGGCGGUUUUCUAAGUCAGUGGUGAAAUACGGCAGCUCAACUGUCGAGGUGCCAUUGAUACUGGGGGACUUGAGUACUGAUGAGGUAGGCGGAAUGGACGGUGUAGCGGUGAAAUGCUUAGAGAUCGUCCAGAACACCGAUAGCGAAGGCAGCUUACUAAGGAGUAACUGACGCUGAGGCACGAAAGUGUGGGGAUCAAACAGG
Molecule: ribosomal RNA, 253 nt
Filed under: uncultured bacterium
Lineage: Bacteria
Description: partial 16S ribosomal RNA
Rfam family: Bacterial small subunit ribosomal RNA
Source: RNAcentral